GUUGUUAUGUAACAAGUUGUUAUUUUUUUGUCGACCGUCAUGUCGUUGAGUUUUGGAUUGAUCGCUGAUGUGCAGUUUGCUUUUGCUCACGAUCGUGUAUCCCCUGGUAAACCAAGGUUUUAUCAGAACUCAAGAAAAUUGUUGAGCGAUGCGGUGAAGCACUGGAACAACGAAAGGACCUCGUUUAUUGUUCAACUUGGYGAUGUUAUCGAUGGUGUUAAUGUCGAAAAUGGGAAGUCUCAUCAAGCUUUAGACGUAGUUCUGUCGGAAUUCGACAAAUCCGAUGUAGAAGUGAUUCAUGUUCUUGGUAAUCACGAACUGAUAAAUUUUAGCCGGAGAAAGUUGGCGCUUUCACCAUUAUGUCGAAAACAAUAUGAACCCAAGAGGAAACCCAAGGAAAAGUGCGCUCAUAUUGUUCAAGACUUCACCAGCGAGACGMCGGUGUUUUAUUUCACCUUCAAGAUAAAAGAAUCCCCWGGAUUUCGCUUUGUGGUUCUUGAUACAUUUGAUGAAAGUCUUCUUGGAAGAAGCAAGUCCAGCCUGGAGUAUCAAAACGCGCUUAACAUCAUUCGAAAACACAAUAACAACGAAGACAYUCGCUCUUUUGAUGGACUCAAGGCAGCUGUCGAUCAACGUUUCACAAGUGAUAGUGGCGGUUUGGGAAAACAGCAACUGAAAUGGCUGGAUAAAGUUCUAACAGAGGCUGAUCUUCGUGACGAAAAGGUAGUGCUAUUUAGUCACUCUACGCUACAUCCUAAAUGUGCCCUCGAAAACGGAGAUGUUCCGUGGAAUUGCGAAGAAAUACUGGAACUACUAUCAUGUCAUCCAAGUGUUAAGGUGUGGUGGUAAAUUUCGAUAUAACGGGUUAACUUCUGUGGUAAAUUAAACUUUACGAAGAGAUGAUCUUUCAUGGUUAGCUUCAAUAGAUGGAACAAUGUAUGGACAUAAUAUACAUUCUUGACUGUUUUAUAAUAUAUGAUAUGACUGUUUCUUCCAUUCAAGUCACAAACAAAACCACGUUUCAUGUAUAUAUAAACAGGUCACUAUAUGAUGUACACUGUAUGAUGAAGGCUAAAAUUGYAUUCUUCAAGUGUCUUUUGCUCUGCAUAACAAUAAACAAGAACAACCCAGUCCAGAGCUAAAGUUUCCGCUCAAUCUUGGUUAUUUGGCAAUUGAAAGCAAAAAGGAAUAAUUGUAAUUCAAGCACAAAGUCAUGUAUGAAAAGUUUGGAAUAUUAMAACUAACAACAAAGGUCAAUUGUCUCACAAAAGGACCAGACAAACUGGUAUUAUUCUUGUUUAGAACUUGUUUACAUAAUCUUGCUAUUUUGUACUCUGUAAACCUUGUUUCUUUCUUAUGGUAUUACAAGUAUUACAUAAGCAUGGUUUUUKCAAAAUAAAAUUUUCUAUUAUA
Exaiptasia diaphana is the source of this 1413-nucleotide RNA transcript. It is a transcript of the gene named manganese-dependent ADP-ribose/CDP-alcohol diphosphatase, with no coding region annotated. The transcript has 3 exons. The record is from RefSeq and is a predicted model, not a curated record. NCBI's taxonomy places the organism in Eukaryota, Metazoa, Cnidaria, Anthozoa, Actiniaria, Aiptasiidae.